Molecule: transfer RNA, 88 nt
Filed under: Brachypodium distachyon (stiff brome)
Lineage: Eukaryota; Viridiplantae; Streptophyta; Magnoliopsida; Poales; Poaceae
Rfam family: tRNA
About the family: Transfer RNA (tRNA) molecules are approximately 80 nucleotides in length.
Source: Rfam by way of RNAcentral
GGGAUGGUGGCGCAGUUGGCUGGCGCGGUGGUCUCAUAGCUGGAUGUGAGUGAUCCUGAGGUCGAGAGUUCGAACCUCUCUCACCCCA